Molecule: transfer RNA, 95 nt
Filed under: Blumeria hordei DH14
Lineage: Eukaryota; Fungi; Ascomycota; Leotiomycetes; Helotiales; Erysiphaceae
Description: tRNA-Lys for anticodon CUU
Rfam family: tRNA
About the family: Transfer RNA (tRNA) molecules are approximately 80 nucleotides in length.
Source: Rfam by way of RNAcentral
GCCCGAGUAGCUCAAUCGGUAGAGCGUGUGGCUCUUAGUACGUUGUAGUGCUCAUGAUGACCUUAAGGUCGCGGGUUCGAGCCCCGCCUUGGGCU